This is a non-coding RNA of Paramuricea clavata, 104 nucleotides long. The record is from the annotation of a GenBank genome assembly. Lineage: Eukaryota; Metazoa; Cnidaria; Anthozoa; Malacalcyonacea; Plexauridae.
GUUUGAAGUUUACGUUUGGCGUAUAAAUUUCAUGCUUUAACGACUAUACAAGCCCUCAUAGCAGUUCAAGUAUGAAAUUUAUGCGCCAAACGUAAACUUCAAAC